UGAUAGUAUCAGGAAAACUAUGAACAAGUAAUUGUUUGAAUAGUUUUUUAAUAUCAUUUGAGCGAAGAUAGAAUUUUUUUUUUCCAUUUAAUAUAUGCAGUUGUAGAAUUUUGACAUAAUAUUAUUUCAGAAUGAUGUCAAUAGAUCAAGAGGAAGCCAAGUCUUGAUUUUUUUUUUUUUGACAUUUUUCUGCCUGUUAAAAUCCAAAAACAAGAUUUGUUACUGCAACUUUGUUUAGGAGAAAGAGAAAGAGAAAGGGAGAGGCUAAAGCUGGGCUUGCCCAACCAAUAGUCUGGGAUAGUUUUCACAUGGGAAAUGUUAGGGAGGUUUUGAGCUAUAGUUGUUGCUUUUAUAACUACAUUUCCAUUGUUUAGUUCAAUGGAUUUGCAAGAGAGAAGAAUGCUUAGUCAUUCGAUCUUGGAGAGAGCAUCGAAGAAGCCUGUUGAUCCAAAUUCUAAUGCUUGAUCUAUAAUUCUCUCUUUAAGCCAAUAAAUACAUGCCACUAGGCAUCAUCAAAGCCCUUUUCUAAUUCCAAAAAUUCCAAAUGCGGCUAUUAACCAACCCCCCUAUCUAUGAAUAGUCUUUAUUAGAAGAGAAUUAGAUCCUU
RNAcentral lists this long non-coding RNA (607 nucleotides) under Phoenix dactylifera (date palm). RNAcentral describes it as "long non-coding RNA (PDAC_LNC004021)". The record is from RNAcentral. Lineage: Eukaryota; Viridiplantae; Streptophyta; Magnoliopsida; Arecales; Arecaceae.